RNAcentral lists this ribosomal RNA (469 nucleotides) under uncultured bacterium. RNAcentral describes it as "partial 16S ribosomal RNA". It matches the Rfam family "Bacterial small subunit ribosomal RNA", at positions 28 to 507 of the family's 1533-position model. The record is from RNAcentral.
GACGAACGCUGGCGGCGUGCUUAACACAUGCCAGUCGAACGGAAAGGCCCUGCUUGCAGGGUGCUCGAGUGGCGAACGGGUGAGUAACACGUGGGUGAUCUGCCCCUUACUUUGGGAUAAGCCUGGGAAACUGGGUCUAAUACUGGAUAGGACCAUGCUGUAGGUGGUGUGGUGGAAAGAUUAGUUUCGGUAAGGGGUGAGCUCGCGGCCUAUCAGCUUGUUGGUGGGGUAAUGGCCUACCAAGGCGUCGACGGGUAGCCGGCCUGAGAGGGUGGACGGCCACAUUGGGACUGAGAUACGGCCCAGACUCCUACGGGAGGCAGCAGUGGGGAAUAUUGCACAAUGGGCGCAAGCCUGAUGCAGCGACGCCGCGUGGGGGAUGACGGCCUUCGGGUUGUAAACUCCUUUCAGCCAUGACGAAGCCCUUGUGGUGACGGUAGUGGUAGAAGAAGCACCGGCUAACUACGUG